GACGAACGCUGGCGGCGUGCUUAACACAUGCAAGUCGAACGGAAAGGCCCUGCUUUUGUGGGGUGCUCGAGUGGCGAACGGGUGAGUAACACGUGAGUAACCUGCCCUUGACUUUGGGAUAACUUCAGGAAACUGGGGCUAAUACAGGAUAGGAGCUCCUGCUGCAUGGUGGGGGUUGGAAAGUUUCGGCGGUUGGGGAUGGACUCGCGGCUUAUCAGCUUGUUGGUGGGGUAGUGGCUUACCAAGGCUUUGACGGGUAGCCGGCCUGAGAGGGUGACCGGCCACAUUGGUCCUGAGAUACGGCCCAGACUCCUACGUGAGGCAGCAGUGGGGAAUAUUGCACAACGGGCGGAAGCCUGAUGCAGCAACGCCGCGUGCGUGAUGACGGCCUUCGGGUUGUAAACCGCUUUCGCCUGUGACGAAGCGUGAGUGACGGUAAUUGGUAAAGAAGCACCGGCUAACUACGUG
RNAcentral lists this ribosomal RNA (468 nucleotides) under uncultured bacterium. Its description in RNAcentral is "partial 16S ribosomal RNA". It matches the Rfam family "Bacterial small subunit ribosomal RNA", at positions 28 to 507 of the family's 1533-position model. The record is from RNAcentral.